CAACUGCACUGUAGUAGCAAGUUCCUCCAUGGCUUUUGUACAUUUGCCAGUAGCUACUGAUGGAAAAUAGCAAGGUUUCUUUGGUUGGAAUUGGAUCAUCCUGCAAUCUGCAACAGCAUCUGGUGUUUGUUCGUGUGCUGUUCUCUUUUCCAUAGGAAGGUUAUAAGGUAUUUCUUUCCAAAUUGUCGAUUCAAUCUUCAACAAAAGAUUGAUAUGAUAAUUAAGAUAAUAAAUGAAAAUGAGGUGAAAAUUUUUGGGAGGGACCCUUUCAACUUUGUUGUAUGUAGAGACACUAACAUACUUGCACAUCAUGAUAUUAUUGAUCAAUAUGUCAUAUAUUUCGAUUCAAGCAAAUUAAUUGCAUGAAUAAGAUUGGUUAAUAAGUAUUCAUGAGUUCAGUUAUCAUAUACAUUUAAUUGCUUAUUACGAACUACAAAAAAAUUAUCAUGCAGAGGAGUCGUCACUUAAUUAUCGAAUCAAGCAAUAGUAUUGCCUGUCAUUUGAUUUUAAUUGCCAGAAGAAAGGAUAAAUACAAGUUAAUUUUACUUUCUUUGGUGAUAUUUAUUAACUUGUAAAUAGACUGCCUGCAGGGAUAAAAUUAAUUGUCAAUCAAUUACUCAAGAAUUACUUUAUAAUAUAUAUUAAAUGACUUAUUAUAGAUAGCACUAAAUCUUACAAUUAAUAAAAUGAACCGUAGAAAAUUUAAAAUGGAUCUGACGUCAUGCACAAAAAAUCCGAUAAUAUCAAUGUCGGACACGAAUUUUAGUUGGAUCCGACCCGAUAACAGCCCUCUCGAGGCUCUCUUAACUCUUCGGCUCGGGUCCAAACCUUCGCUUCGCAGCCGGCGGAAGGAGACCAGAAGGCAAUUGGCGCCGACGAUGGAUCCCAGGAUGUGGCACAAGGUCGCUGCAAUCUCCGGUGUUGCUGCUAUCGGUCUGGGGACUUACGGCGCUCAUGGUUUCAAGCCCAAGAACCCAUCUUACAAGGAGGUUUGGCGUACCGCCUCCCUCUACCACUUGGUCCAUACGGCCGCCCUAGUGGGAGCUCCCAUCGCCAAACGCCCCAACAUCUUUGGAGGGCUUCUAACUACCGGUAUCGUCGGGUUCUCGGGAACGUGCUACACGGCCGCUUAUCUUGAAGACAGAAAGAUCUCUUUUAUUGCACCAUAUGGUGGAUUUGCAAUUCUUGCUGCUUGGGCUAGCUUACUCUUCUGACACGCAAUGGAUCAUCAACAUUUGAGGUGUCAUAUUGCAUUGGAGCUAUUUGGGAAGUUUGUCCUCGGUUAUGUCAACGGAGCGACUGGAAGUGGCAGCAACAUCACCUGCAAGAAAGAACCAAUGAGUCAUUCCAAAAUGGAGAGGAUUGAAGACAUUUCCAAGUAGUCUUCUUCUAUUGCCACCCGUUUUUAUAGUGAGUCUUCUUCCUCUGCCCACCCAUCGUGCACAUAUCGAGGGAAGCUUCGAUGGCGGGCCAUCAUCAUUUCCUUACCGCCCUCGUGAUACUCGUCUCUCUACCAUACCGGACUUCCACCACCUUCGGUGGCUUCAGCGCGGGACUCUUCAGCCGAGACUAUAGUCUCUCCCCCCCCCCCCCCCCAACACGACCUAUGCGGAGAAGGAGGAAGCCCUCAUGCGUCGGUCGGAUGCGCGCCUACGGUACCUGGAUGCGCGCCUACGGUACUUGGAAGUGAGGCAUCGGUACACGCUUACUCUUCCGGUCAUCUUCGACACGGGCAGUGGAGUAACUUGGGUGUAAUCGACUCCUUGUGUGAAGUCUUACGAGCAGGAUUACCAGACGAAGUGCGUCAACGGCAGUUGUGUGUACGUCGUGGGCUACGCCGACAACUCCUACUCUAUCGGCAUGGUCGGCAUCAAGUGCUUCACCUUCACCAGCACCGAUGAUGACAACUCCUACUCUAUCGGCAUGGUCGGCAUCGAGUGCUUCACCUUCACCAGCACCGAUGAUGAUCUCGCUUUGGUGGAGAUGUCCUUCGACGUGGGGCUCCAAAACGACGGGACAUUCGACUUACUGCGUUCAGUUGCAUGACAUUACGAUGGGCAUCAAGAAGCUGCACAUUCAGCUGGGGACGUUCGACUUGAACCACGGCACAUUCCGCUGGGGACGUUCAACUUGAACUGCGGCGGCCUCAUUCUCGACACUAGCACUCCCUUGACGUGUCUUUAUAGGGAACCGUUCGAUAUGGUACACAAGGAGCUGGACAAGUAGGCGAAGUUGAAGCGCGUUGGCGGGUGGACUCGUCGACAAUGCUUCUACGGGAACCACGACCAUUUGGACGACGGGACGACGGUGCCAGUGCUCAGAUUCCAUUUCGAGGGGUUGGAAAUGAUCGUGCCACCCACGUAAUAUUUCACGGUAGAAGGCAAUUACGUUUGCUCCACCCUGAUUGCCAUCGACUCUAAACCCUCAGUGUACGGUUCCUACAUGAAACAAAACUUUGUUGUGGGAUA
Musa acuminata AAA Group (dessert banana) is the source of this 2468-nucleotide RNA transcript. RefSeq lists it as uncharacterized. The transcript is spliced from 8 exons. NCBI's taxonomy places the organism in Eukaryota, Viridiplantae, Streptophyta, Magnoliopsida, Zingiberales, Musaceae. The record is from RefSeq and is a predicted model, not a curated record.